UACGGAAGGCAGCAGUGGGGAAUAUUGGACAAUGGGCGAAAGCCUGAUCCAGCCAUGCCGCAUGAGUGAAGAAGGCCUUCGGGUUGUAAAGCUCUUUUAGUGAGAAAGAUAAUGACGGUACUCACAGAAGAAGUCCUGGCUAACUCCGUGCCAGCAGCCGCGGUAAUACGGAGAGGGCUAGCGUUAUUCGGAAUUAUUGGGCGUAAAGAGCGCGUAGGCUGAUUAGUAAGUUAAAAGUGAAAUCCCAAAGCUUAACUUUGGAAUUGCUUUUUAAAACUGCUAGUCUAGAGAUUGAAAGAGGAUAGAGGAAUUCCUAGUGUAGAGGUGAAAUUCGUAAAUAUUAGGAGGAAACACCAAGUGGCGAAGGCGUCUAUCUGGUUCAAAUCUGACGCUGAGGGCGCGAAAGGGCGUGGGGAGGCAAACAGGGAUUAGAUACC
This 437-nucleotide ribosomal RNA is filed under the name uncultured bacterium. RNAcentral describes it as "bacterial SSU rRNA". It matches the Rfam family "Bacterial small subunit ribosomal RNA", at positions 340 to 786 of the family's 1533-position model. The record is from RNAcentral.